This 81-nucleotide non-coding RNA is filed under the name Deltaproteobacteria bacterium. Its description in RNAcentral is "c-di-GMP sequence". It matches the Rfam family "c-di-GMP-I-GGC riboswitch aptamer". The record is from RNAcentral. Lineage: Bacteria; Pseudomonadati; Myxococcota; Myxococcia.
ACUGACAAAGCCAAACCACCCGCAAGGGUGGGGCGGAAAGCCUCGGGUCCCGCCUUGGGCGGGAAAGCCGGGUUGCCAAAA